Molecule: long non-coding RNA, 390 nt
Filed under: Rattus norvegicus (Norway rat)
Lineage: Eukaryota; Metazoa; Chordata; Mammalia; Rodentia; Muridae
Description: long non-coding RNA NONRATT030889
Source: RNAcentral
GGCGCAAGCUCUGUCUGAAGAGGAGUUUCAACGGAUGCAGACACAGCUCCUGGAACUCCGGACAAAUAACUACCAGCUUUCAGAUGAACUCCGGAAGAAUGGUGUUGGUGAGCCAAGAGCGUCUCAUUAGAUGGGGUGGUUUUGGGGGGAAUAGAGGCCUGAUAAGAUGACCCUUCAGUUCCUUGUUACCGCCUGAGGCUCAGAUUCCCUGCUUUCCCUGCACCAGAACUUUCCAGUCUUCGACAGAAGGUCGCCUACCUGGAUAAGGAAUUCAGUAAAGCUCAAAAGCUCUGCAGCCAGCUGGAGCAGCUGGAGCUGGAGAACCGACAACUCAAGGAAGGGGUUCCUGGAGCAGCUGGACCACAUGUGGACGGGGAGCUGCUGAGGCUG